UACAGAGGGGGCAAGCGUUGUUCGGAAUUACUGGGCGUAAAGGGCGCGUAGGCGGCCGACUAAGUCAGACGUGAAAUCCCAUGGCUCAACCAUGGAACUGCGUCCGAUACUGGACGGCUUGAGUUCGGGAGAGGGAAGUGGAAUUCCAGGUGUAGCGGUGGAAUGCGUAGAUAUCUGGAGGAACACCGGUGGCGAAGGCGGCUUCCUGGACCGACACUGACGCUGAGGCGCGAAAGCCAGGGGAGCAAACGGG
RNAcentral lists this ribosomal RNA (253 nucleotides) under uncultured bacterium. Its description in RNAcentral is "partial 16S ribosomal RNA". It matches the Rfam family "Bacterial small subunit ribosomal RNA", at positions 524 to 776 of the family's 1533-position model. The record is from RNAcentral.